AUGGUUAAGCUAAUAAGAGCACACGGAGGAUGCCUAGGCGCCAGGAGCCGACGAAGGACGUGGCGAACAACGAAACUGCCUCGGGGAGCUGUAAGCAAGCUUUGAUCCGGGGGUGUCCGAAUGGGGAAACCCAGCUGUGGUAAUUCGCAGUUACUCAUACCUGAAUACAUAGGGUAUGCAGAGGCAGACCAGGGGAACUGAAACAUCUAAGUACCCUGAGGAAGAGAAAACAAUAGUGAUUCCGUCAGUAGCGGCGAGCGAACGCGGAACAGCCUAAACCAAGGGGCUUGCCCCUUGGGGUUGUGGGACGUCUCACAUGGAGUUACAAAGGAACCGGGUAGGCGAAGAGGUCUGGAAAGGCCCGCGAUAGAGGUAAAAGCCCUGUAACCUAAACCCUGUUCCCUCCGAGACGGAUCCCGAGUAGUGCGGGGCACGUGAAACCCCGUAUGAAUCCGGCAGGACCAUCUGCUAAGGCUAAAUACUACCUGGCGACCGAUAGUGAAACAGUACCGUGAGGGAAAGGUGAAAAGCACCCCGGAAGGGGAGUGAAAUAGAACCUGAAACCGUGUGCUUACAAAAAGUCAGAGCCCAAUUUAGGGGUGAUGGCGUGCCUUUUGUAGAAUGAACCGGCGAGUUACGUUUAACAUGCAAGGUUAAGGUGAGAAGCCGGAGCCGCAGCGAAAGCGAGUCUGAAUAGGGCGACUAAGUAUGUGGACGUAGACCCGAAACCGUGUGAUCUACCCCUGUCCAGGGUGAAGGUGCGGUAACACGCACUGGAGGCCCGAACCCACGUAUGUUGAAAAAUGCGGGGAUGAGGUGGGGGUAGCGGAGAAAUUCCAAUCGAACUCGGAGAUAGCUGGUUCUCCCCGAAAUAGCUUUAGGGCUAGCCUCGGUGAAUGGAGUCGUGGAGGUAGAGCACUGAUUGGGUGCGGGGCCCGCAAGGGUUACCAAGCUCAGUCAAACUCCGAAUGCCAUGGACUUCUUGCCGGGAGUCAGACAGUGAGUGCUAAGAUCCAUUGUCAAAAGGGAAACAGCCCAGACCAUCAGCUAAGGUCCCCAAGUGUGUGUUAAGUGGGAAAGGAUGUGGAGUUGCACAGACAACCAGGAUGUUGGCUUAGAAGCAGCCACCAUUGAAAGAGUGCGUAAUAGCUCACUGGUCGAGUGACUCUGCGCCGAAAAUGUAACGGGGCUAAACACACCACCGAAGCUAUGGCUAGAUACGUAUGUAUCUGGGGUAGGGGAGCGUUGUAUGUAGAUUGAAGGUGUACCGUAAGGAGCGCUGGACCGCAUACAAGUGAGAAUGCCGGUAUGAGUAACGAAAAGAUCAGUGAGAAUCUGAUCCGCCGAAAGCCCAAGGUUUCCUGAGGAAGGCUCGUCCGCUCAGGGUAAGUCGGGACCUAAGGCGAGGCCGACAGGCGUAGUCGAAGGACAACAGUUUGAAAUUACUGUACCACCGUAAUCCGCUAUGAGCGAUGGGGUGACGCAGGAGGGUAGUGACGCGGACUGAUGGAUGUCCGUCUAAGCAGUGAGGCUGGUGUGCAGGCAAAUCCGCACAUCAUAAGGCUGGGCUGUGAUGGGGAGCGAAAAUUAUAGUAGCGAAGGUCAUGAUCUCACACUGCCAAGAAAAGCCUCUAGCCAGGAGAAGGUGCCCGUACCGCAAACCGACACAGGUAGGCGAGAAGAGAAUUCUAAGGCGCGCGGAAGAACUCUCGUUAAGGAACUCGGCAAAAUGACCCCGUAACUUCGGGAGAAGGGGUGCCUCGGUAGGGUGAAUAGCCCGAGGGGGCCGCAGUGAAAAGGCCCAAGCGACUGUUUAGCAAAAACACAGGUCUGUGCGAAGCCGCAAGGCGAAGUAUACGGGCUGACGCCUGCCCGGUGCUGGAAGGUUAAGGGGAGCGGUUAGGGGCAACCCGAAGCUGUGAACCGAAGCCCCAGUAAACGGCGGCCGUAACUAUAACGGUCCUAAGGUAGCGAAAUUCCUUGUCAGGUAAAUUCUGACCCGCACGAAUGGCGUAACGACUUGGGCGCUGUCUCAACGAGAGAUCCGGUGAAAUUUUAAUACCUGUGAAGAUGCAGGUUACCCGCGACAAGACGGAAAGACCCCAUGGAGCUUUACUGCAGCUUGAUAUUGAAUUUGGGUACGAUCUGUACAGGAUAGGUGGGAGCCGUAGAAGCCGGAGCGCAAGCUUCGGUGGAGGCGCCGUUGGGAUACCACCCUGAUCGUAUCUAGGUUCUAACCUGGUACCCUAAGCGGGUACGGGGACCGUGUCAGGCGGGCAGUUUGACUGGGGCGGUCGCCUCCUAAAGAGUAACGGAGGCGUUCAAAGGUUCCCUCAGAAUGGUUGGAAAUCAUUCGAAGAGUGCAAAGGCAGAAGGGAGCUUGACUGCGAGACCAACAAGUCGAGCAGGGACGAAAGUCGGACUUAGUGAUCCGGUGGUACCGCAUGGAAGGGCCAUCGCUCAACGGAUAAAAGCUACCCUGGGGAUAACAGGCUUAUCUCCCCCAAGAGUCCACAUCGACGGGGAGGUUUGGCACCUCGAUGUCGGCUCAUCGCAUCCUGGGGCUGAAGUAGGUCCCAAGGGUUGGGCUGUUCGCCCAUUAAAGCGGUACGCGAGCUGGGUUCAGAACGUCGUGAGACAGUUCGGUCCCUAUCUGUCGUGGGCGCAGGAAAUUUGAGAGGAGCUGUCCUUAGUACGAGAGGACCGGGAUGGACGUACCGCUGGUGCACCAGUUGUUCCGCCAGGAGCAUGGCUGGGUAGCUACGUACGGACGGGAUAAGCGCUGAAAGCAUCUAAGCGUGAAGCCCCCCUCAAGAUGAGAUUUCCCAAGUCAGUAAGACCCCUUGAAGACGACGAGGUAGAUAGGUUGGAGGUGGAAGUGCAGCAAUGCAUGGAGCUGACCAAUACUAAUCGGUCGAGGGCUUAUCCAAAA
This 2932-nucleotide ribosomal RNA is filed under the name Paenibacillus graminis. Its description in RNAcentral is "bacterial LSU rRNA". It matches the Rfam family "Bacterial large subunit ribosomal RNA". The record is from RNAcentral. Lineage: Bacteria; Bacillati; Bacillota; Bacilli; Caryophanales; Paenibacillaceae.